UCUGAAUACCCAGGAUGCUAGCAUAGUCCUCCAUCAAAGGUCCCAACAAGUAAUCCGGGAAAACGAAACAUCUCAAGCCCGGGUCAUAAAACUGGAGAAGAGUAUGAAUGACGCUCCUAUCACUGUCUGUGAGCCUGAAAACCAACUUCAGAAUACCACCGUAUGCCUCUCGAAACAUCCCCACAUGGUCGGGUGUAAUCAAUGCUAUCAUAUC
RNAcentral lists this long non-coding RNA (214 nucleotides) under Lathyrus oleraceus (garden pea). RNAcentral describes it as "Pisum sativum (pea) long non-coding RNA (PSAT_LNC014529)". The record is from RNAcentral. Lineage: Eukaryota; Viridiplantae; Streptophyta; Magnoliopsida; Fabales; Fabaceae.